This 287-nucleotide ribosomal RNA is filed under the name uncultured bacterium. Its description in RNAcentral is "partial 16S ribosomal RNA". It matches the Rfam family "Bacterial small subunit ribosomal RNA", at positions 337 to 620 of the family's 1533-position model. The record is from RNAcentral.
UCCUACGGGGGGCAGCAGUGAGGAAUAUUGGUCAAUGGCCGAGAGGCUGAACCAGCCAAGUCGCGUGAGGGAUGACGGCCCUACGGGUUGUAAACCUCUUUUGUCGGGGAGCAAGACCCGCCUCGUGCAGGCGGAGCGAGAGUACCCGAAGAAAAAGCAUCGGCUAACUCCGUGCCAGCAGCCGCGGUAAUACGUAGGGUGCGAGCGUUAAUCGGAAUUACUGGGCGUAAAGGGUGCGCAGGCGGUUGAGUAAGACAGAUUUGAAAUCCCCCAGCUUAAAUUGGGAA